Molecule: ribosomal RNA, 253 nt
Filed under: uncultured bacterium
Lineage: Bacteria
Description: partial 16S ribosomal RNA
Rfam family: Bacterial small subunit ribosomal RNA
Source: RNAcentral
UACAGAGGUGGCAAGCGUUGUUCGGAAUUACUGGGCGUAAAGGGCGCGUAGGCGGCCAUCUAAGUCAGACGUGAAAUCCCCCGGCUUAACCUGGGAACUGCGUCUGAUACUGGAAGGCUCGAGUUUGGGAGAGGGAUGUGGAAUUCCAGGUGUAGCGGUGAAAUGCGUAGAUAUUGGGAGGAACACCAGUGGCGAAGGCAGCCCCCUGGGCCAACACUGACGCUCAGGCACGAAAGCGUGGGGAGCAAACAGG